RNAcentral lists this ribosomal RNA (254 nucleotides) under uncultured bacterium. Its description in RNAcentral is "partial 16S ribosomal RNA". It matches the Rfam family "Bacterial small subunit ribosomal RNA", at positions 524 to 776 of the family's 1533-position model. The record is from RNAcentral.
UACGGGGGGGGCAAGCGUUGUUCGGAAUUACUGGGCGUAAAGGGUUCGUAGGUGGCUUGCUAAGUCAGACGUGAAAUCCCUCAGCUUAACUGGGGAACUGCGUCUGAGACUGGUGAGCUUGAGUGCAGGAGAGGAACGCGGAAUUCCAGGUGUAGCGGUGAAAUGCGUAGAUAUCUGGAGGAACACCGGUGGCGAAGGCGGCAUCCUGGACCAAUUCUGACGCUGAGUGAGCGAAAGCCAGGGGAGCAAACGGG